UACUAGUCAAAUUAAGACUUUCAUUUCCAUAGACACUUCAAGAAUCCUUAACCCUUAAGCCAUUAAGUCAAGCUCUCUAGCUACUUCCCUUUCUUCAACCUAUAAAUUCAUACACAGCUUUACACUUUCUUGAUCAUCAGCAAUAUCGUUCCUGUUCUAAGGACUUCAAGAGCGUGCUAGAGUCAGAAAGAGAAAGAGAAAGAGAUGCCGCCACCAGGUUGGGGACCACCGGGCUGGGGACCACCGCCACCAGGAGGAGGGCCACCCGGUUGUGGUUGCUGUGAGUUUCUUUGCGGUGGACUUUGCCGCCUUCUGUCUUCAUGUUUCUAUGUGUUGUGCUGCUGCUGCAUAUUUGAGAGCUGUUGUGGGCCAAUGUUUGGUGGGCCAGGUGGACCAGGUGGGCCAGGUGGGCCUCCUGGAUUCUGAUCACUUCAUUUCCACCUAAUAUAUCUUCUUAUGUAAUGUGUUGUAUGGUUCCUUGUGUUUAUGUUGUGUUAAAUGUGUGAAGUAUGGUUAUGGUGAUGCUUAUCAACUUUACCUGAAAACAUCAAAAUGGAUUAUGCACUUUUGGUUAUCUUUUUAUAAUAA
Pistacia vera is the source of this 588-nucleotide long non-coding RNA. RefSeq lists it as uncharacterized. The transcript has 2 exons. The record is from RefSeq and is a predicted model, not a curated record. Lineage: Eukaryota; Viridiplantae; Streptophyta; Magnoliopsida; Sapindales; Anacardiaceae.